Molecule: transfer RNA, 76 nt
Filed under: Propionibacterium sp.
Lineage: Bacteria; Bacillati; Actinomycetota; Actinomycetes; Propionibacteriales; Propionibacteriaceae
Description: tRNA-Arg
Rfam family: tRNA
About the family: Transfer RNA (tRNA) molecules are approximately 80 nucleotides in length. Their secondary structure includes four short double-helical elements and three loops (D, anti-codon, and T loops). Further hydrogen bonds mediate the characteristic L-shaped molecular structure. tRNAs have two regions of fundamental functional importance: the anti-codon, which is responsible for specific mRNA codon recognition, and the 3' end, to which the tRNAs corresponding amino acid is attached (by aminoacyl-tRNA synthetases). tRNAs cope with the degeneracy of the genetic code in two manners: having more than one tRNA (with a specific anti-codon) for a particular amino acid; and 'wobble' base-pairing, i.e. permitting non-standard base-pairing at the 3rd anti-codon position.
Source: RNAcentral
GGCCCCAUAGCUCAGGGGAUAGAGCACCGCUCUCCUAAAGCGGGUGCCGUUGGUUCGAAUCCAACUGGGGCCGCCA